RNAcentral lists this ribosomal RNA (547 nucleotides) under uncultured bacterium. RNAcentral describes it as "bacterial SSU rRNA". It matches the Rfam family "Bacterial small subunit ribosomal RNA", at positions 383 to 923 of the family's 1533-position model. The record is from RNAcentral.
CUGAUCCAGCCAUGCCGCGUGAGUGAAGAAGGCCUUCGGGUUGUAAAGCUCUUUCGGCGGGGACGAAAAGGUCCGUGUUAACACCACGGAUCCAUGACGGUACCCGCAGAAGAAGCACCGGCUAACUACGUGCCAGCAGCCGCGGUAAUACGUAGGGUGCAGGCGUUAAUCGGAAUUACUGGGCGUAAAGCGUGCGCAGGCGGUCUAUUAAGACAGGUGUGAAAUCCCCGGGCUUAACCUGGGAACUGCGCUUGUAACUGAUAGGCUGGAGUGUAGCAGAGGGGGGUGGAAUUCCAGGUGUAGCAGUGAAAUGCGUAGAGAUCUGGAGGAACACCGAUGGCGAAGGCAGCCCCCUGGGCUAACACUGACGCUCAUGCACGAAAGCGUGGGGAGCAAACAGGAUUAGAUACCCUGGUAGUCCACGCCCUAAACUAUGUCAACUGGUUGUCGGGGAAGCAAUUCCUUGGUAACGAAGCUAACGCGUGAAGUUGACCGCCUGGGGAGUACGGCCGCAAGGUUAAAACUCAAAGGAAUUGACGGGGACCCG